AUGAACGCUGGCGGCGUGCCUAAUCCAUGCCAGUCGAGCUCACAGACGAGGAGCUUGCUCCUCUGACGUUAGCGGCGGACGGGUGAGUAACACGUGGAUAACCUACCUAUAAGACUGGGAUAACUUCGGGAAACCGGAGCUAAUACCGGAUAAUAUAUUGAACCGCAUGGUUCAAUAGUGAAAGACGGUUUUGCUGUCACUUAUAGAUGGAUCCGCGCCGCAUUAGCUAGUUGGUAAGGUAACGGCUUACCAAGGCAACGAUGCGUAGCCGACCUGAGAGGGUGAUCGGCCACACUGGAACUGAGACACGGUCCAGACUCCUACGGGAGGCAGCAGUAGGGAAUCUUCCGCAAUGGGCGAAAGCCUGACGGAGCAACGCCGCGUGAGUGAUGAAGGUCUUCGGAUCGUAAAACUCUGUUAUUAGGGAAGAACAAAUGUGUAAGUAACUAUGCACGUCUUGACGGUACCUAAUCAGAAAGCCACGGCUAACUACGUG
Molecule: ribosomal RNA, 496 nt
Filed under: uncultured bacterium
Lineage: Bacteria
Description: partial 16S ribosomal RNA
Rfam family: Bacterial small subunit ribosomal RNA
Source: RNAcentral